Molecule: ribosomal RNA, 253 nt
Filed under: uncultured bacterium
Lineage: Bacteria
Description: partial 16S ribosomal RNA
Rfam family: Bacterial small subunit ribosomal RNA
Source: RNAcentral
UACAGAGGUGGCAAGCGUUGUUCGGAAUUACUGGGCGUAAAGGGCGCGUAGGCGGCCGCCUAAGUCAGACGUGAAAUCCCCGGGCUUAACCUGGGGACUGCGCUUCUAACUGGCAGGCUUGAGUGUGGCAGAGGGGGGUGGAAUUCCACGUGUAGCAGUGAAAUGCGUAGAGAUGUGGAGGAACACCGAUGGCGAAGGCAGCCCCCUGGGCUAACACUGACGCUCAUGCACGAAAGCGUGGGGAGCAAACAGG